Molecule: non-coding RNA, 73 nt
Organism: Ameiurus melas (black bullhead)
Lineage: Eukaryota; Metazoa; Chordata; Actinopteri; Siluriformes; Ictaluridae
Source: the annotation of a GenBank genome assembly
GGCACGGUGGUUUAGUGGUUAGCACGUUUUCCUCGCAUCUCUGCGGUUGGGAGUUCGAGUCCCGCCUUUGCCC